AGUGAACGCUGGCGGUAGGCCUAACACAUGCAAGUCGAACGGCAGCACAGUAAGAGCUUGCUCUUACGGGUGGCGAGUGGCGGACGGGUGAGGAAUACAUCGGAAUCUACUUUUUCGUGGGGGAUAACGUAGGGAAACUUACGCUAAUACCGCAUACGACCUACGGGUGAAAGCAGGGGAUCUUCGGACCUUGCGCGAUUGAAUGAGCCGAUGUCGGAUUAGCUAGUUGGCGGGGUAAAGGCCCACCAGGGCGACGAUCCGUAGCUGGUCUGAGAGGAUGAUCAGCCACAAUGGAACUGAGACACGGUCCAGACUCCUACGGGAGGCAGCAGUGGGGAAUAUUGGACAAUGGGCGCAAGCCUGAUCCAGCCAUACCGCGUGGGUGAAGAAGGCCUUCGGGUUGUAAAGCCCUUUUGUUGGGAAAGAAAAGCAGCAGGUUAAUACCCCGCUGUUCCGACGGUACCCAAAGAAUAAGCACCGGCUAACUUCGUG
This 492-nucleotide ribosomal RNA is filed under the name uncultured bacterium. RNAcentral's name for it is "partial 16S ribosomal RNA". It matches the Rfam family "Bacterial small subunit ribosomal RNA", at positions 29 to 507 of the family's 1533-position model. The record is from RNAcentral.